Molecule: long non-coding RNA, 421 nt
Organism: Rhipicephalus sanguineus (brown dog tick)
Lineage: Eukaryota; Metazoa; Arthropoda; Arachnida; Ixodida; Ixodidae
Exons: 3
Source: RefSeq, a predicted model, not a curated record
CAAGUUACUAGCAAUGGCCUACGAUAGAGCACUUAGCGUUUUGUUGCUCUGAACAUCAUUCUUCGCAGAUGAAGUUCUCGGUAGUUGAAUUCAAAGAUGACAAAUCGAUCGCUGUCGUUCCCUCGUCGUGGGUUCGCGGGCGGAAGUCCUAUUGGCGCCCUGGCCCUGGCAGCAAAACGACAUUAGUCCAGAGAGGUGUGGAGCCCUCACCCGGUUGGAAAGCGUACACCAUGGUCACAAAAGCAACAUUCAGCAAGUAUCGAGAGGCUCGUCUGGCAUUGCCGCUCCUGCAGUGCACAUCAGAUGUGGAACGCAAUGACGGAGGAAAGGGAAAGGUGACAAAGCCCACAAGAUACGAACCUGAAUGCAACAGACAGCCACCCUGCCCACCAAGCACGUUUCCUGGGCCGUCUAUGGCUAG